RNAcentral lists this ribosomal RNA (424 nucleotides) under uncultured bacterium. Its description in RNAcentral is "partial 16S ribosomal RNA". It matches the Rfam family "Bacterial small subunit ribosomal RNA", at positions 360 to 776 of the family's 1533-position model. The record is from RNAcentral.
AAUUGUGGACAAUGGGCGCAAGCCUGAUCCAGCCAUGCCGCGUGACUGAAGAAGGCCUUCGGGUUGUAAAGCUCUUUCCGUCGGGAGGGAAUCGCGCAGGCUAAUACCAUGCUCGGAUUCCCGUACCAUCACAAGAAAGACCGCCCCACUACGCGCCAGCACCCGCGGUCAUACGUAGGGAGCGAGCGUUAAUCGGACGUACUGGGCGUAAAGAGUGCGCAGGCGGUGGAUUAAGACAGGCGUGAAAUCACCGGGGUUAACCUGGGAACUGCGCUUGUGACUGGUCAGCUAGAGUACGGCAGAGGAGGGUGGAAUACCACGUGUAGCAGUGAAAUGCGUAGAGAUGUGGAGGAACACCGAUGGCGAAGGCAGCCCCCUGGGCCGAUACUGACGCUCAUGCACGAAAGCGUGGGUAGCAAACAGG